Molecule: long non-coding RNA, 412 nt
Organism: Planococcus citri (citrus mealybug)
Lineage: Eukaryota; Metazoa; Arthropoda; Insecta; Hemiptera; Pseudococcidae
Exons: 3
Source: RefSeq, a predicted model, not a curated record
AUUAAAAUUAGGCAGGUACGUUAAUCUCACAUGCAACGAAUUCGAAUUCACGAAAAUGAACGAUGAAAUUUACCUGAAUGUAUCCGUUGUUCCCUCCAGCUUGACUUUCACCAAGAAACAAAUACCAACGCACAACCAUAAAAACAACCGAUGGCAGCGAAUAGAAAUUAUUUCAUAAGUAAAUUACCAGCAGUUAACGAAAAAAUCGCGAAAUUGAAACACGAAAAUAGUAUUCAUCAGCACAAACACUCGCACAAUAUCUGAACGCAACGACGAAUGAAACUAAACUGAAUUGGUGUUUGAAGUUCACCGUAUUAUACUUUGAUUGUGGCGUUCAAAUUGCUGAAGAAUUCAGAAUGGAACCAACUUCAAUUUUUCCUCGGUACAAAAGAUUGGAUGCUCAACUUCCCAC